CCUACGGGAGGCAGCAGUGAGGAAUAUUGGUCAAUGGACGAGAGUCUGAACCAGCCAAGUAGCGUGAAGGAUGACUGCCCUAUGGGUUGUAAACUUCUUUUAUAAAGGAAUAAAACGAGGCACGUGUGCCUUUUUGUAUGUACUUUAUGAAUACGGAUCGGCUAACCACGUGCCAGCAGCCGCGGUAAUACGGAGGAUCCGAGCGUUAUCCGGAUUUAUUGGGUUUAAAGGGAGCGUAGAUGGGUUGUUAAGUUAGUUGUGAAAGUUUGCGGCUCAACCGUAAAAUUGCAAUUGAUACUGGCAGUCUUGAGUACAGUUGAGAUAGGCGGAAUUCGUGGUGUAGCGGUGAAAUGCUUAGAUAUCACGAAGAACCCCGAUUGCGAAGGCAGCUUACUAAACUGUGACUGACAUUGAUGCUCGAAAGUGUGGGUAUCAAACAGGAUUAGAUACCCUGGUAGUC
This 460-nucleotide ribosomal RNA is filed under the name uncultured bacterium. RNAcentral's name for it is "partial 16S ribosomal RNA". It matches the Rfam family "Bacterial small subunit ribosomal RNA", at positions 338 to 795 of the family's 1533-position model. The record is from RNAcentral.